This 270-nucleotide ribosomal RNA is filed under the name uncultured bacterium. RNAcentral describes it as "partial 16S ribosomal RNA". It matches the Rfam family "Bacterial small subunit ribosomal RNA", at positions 29 to 284 of the family's 1533-position model. The record is from RNAcentral.
AACGAACGUUAGCGGCGCGCUUAACACAUGCAAGUCGCACGAGAAAGGGCUUCGGCCCCGGUACAGUGGCGCACGGGUGAGUAACACGUGGGUAAUCUUCCCUAUGGCGGGGGAUAACCUUCCGAAAGGAGGGCUAAUACCGCAUAAGACCACGGCUUCGAAAGGAGCUGAGGUUAAAGCAGGCCUCUAUACAUAAGCUUGCACCAUAGGAUGAGCCCGCGGCCCAUCAGCUAGUUGGUAGGGUAAUGGCCUACCAAGGCUAAGACGGGU